AUGAACACAGCAACUGCAGUUCAGAUACAGCAUUGGAGGCACUCAGCAAAAUACCUGCCAGAAGCAGGAGAAAACACCACCGCAGCACUGGCUAUCAGUUUUCCUAAGCCUCCAGGGAUGCGAGAACCAUGUAUGGUCAUGGUAGCAAAGAAUGAGCCCAUAGCCCCUCUUCCUGACCAAGGUAUGCACACUUCAUGUGGUUACUAUAACACAGGCACACAUGCUGCCCUAAACAAAAGAAGGACAAAUCUAGCCCUAUGUUCUUGCUUCCCUGUGGUGAACACUAUAUGCACACAAACCCAGCUCUUUUGCCACUCUAUCUUUUGGGAUGCAGCUACAUAAAGUUGAAAUUGAGGCUUCUAUCCUAGAGUCUCCAUUAAAUGCUUUCAAGCUAAUACCUGCUUGUGGUGGCAGUUCAUGUCCUAGAUGGAGUUCUAAUGAGCACUCACCAUGCCUGAUCUGAUUGAAGCCCCAUUAUGCCUCCACGAAGGCAGGGCUGCCUCUCAGCCUUGCAGCAGGCAGAUGUCACAAGAUGACACUAAUUUGCUCAAAGUGGGAAACCGGCUCCCCAGGCUUUCAUCGCAUUGUGUAGUGAAAGCAAGUCCAGGAUUCAGAUGGCACUGUCUCAGAAGCAAGGGUUUUUAUAGAAAAAAAAAAUUACAAGGGCUUAGAACUAUCCUGCAUUCAUACCAAACGGCCUCCAAAGGACCUGUUGCCCUGUUCUUGAUAUCACUAGGAGGAAGGACUGCUGUGGCAGCAGAUGGUGACAAGGCUGUUUGAAAAUGGCUGGUGGCACCUGAGACUCCAGUGUUUGUGAUUUGCCCUCUUAUUCCUUCGUAAAGGCAAGCUUGUGCUUCCUUCGGGUAAGAGCAUAUAUUCAAAUUAUUUGUUUAUCUACUAUGUGUGCAUGUGUGUAUGUGAGGGUACAUGUGUGCACUGAGUAGGGGACUGCAUAUGGAAGAGAGAGGACAACCUGCUGGCUCUCAUCUUCCACCAUGUGGGAGCCAGGGCUGGAACUCAGGUCGUCAGGCUAAGCAGCAAGCCCCCUUACCCACUGAGCAGCCCCGUGAGCAUACUUCAUGAUGACUCAGUGUUUAUUGUCUACACUGCAGUCCAAACUUUGAUAGGAUCAGAAGUGCUCUGUUUUCUGGAAAGAACACUUGACUGCGUAUUUGUGACAAACACACCCUUUUCUGUUUGUUGAAGUUGUUAUGAAGUGGACUUGAGUGGAUCAUUUGACCUUGCUGGGAGGCGGUUUACAAGUGCUGUGGGGAAGAGAAGUUUCCGGGAAAGAAAAGAACCUGGGGAAAGAGGCUGGCCAGGAAAGAGGAUGCUGACAACCUAUUGAUGUCUGUGUGGGGUGUGCUGUGUUUAUUCACAGCAUGUACAUGGUACCCUGGGUUGAAAGAGUACGGGGCCGGGGAGAAUAGACUAAGGAAGAGUGUGAAUUUGGAGGAAGACGAUGGCUUUGUAGUUUUCCCUAUACAGUGAAACAAAGUUCCAGGCACUGACUAAGGUCAGGGAGCAGAUGGCUUUAUCAGGGAAGAUCAUAUAGACUCAGAACUCAAGCCUAAAUCUAUUAAGCCACAGCCUUG
RNAcentral lists this long non-coding RNA (1595 nucleotides) under Cricetulus griseus (Chinese hamster). RNAcentral's name for it is "lncRNA (ENSCGRG00000026424.1)". The record is from RNAcentral. Lineage: Eukaryota; Metazoa; Chordata; Mammalia; Rodentia; Cricetidae.